This 502-nucleotide ribosomal RNA is filed under the name uncultured bacterium. RNAcentral's name for it is "bacterial SSU rRNA". It matches the Rfam family "Bacterial small subunit ribosomal RNA", at positions 28 to 515 of the family's 1533-position model. The record is from RNAcentral.
GAUGAACGCUAGCGGCAGGCUUAAUACAUGCAAGUUGAGGGGCAGCAUGAUAUACGCGAGUAUAUUGAUGGCGACCGGCGGACGGGUGAGUAAUAGGUAGGAGACCUACCUCAUACAGGGGGAUAGCAUAGAGAAAUCUGUGGUAAUACCCCAUGAGGUUAUAUGAAUAGAGGCAUAUAAUCAAAGCAUAAGUGAUUAUGCGGUAUGAGAGGGGCCUACUGACCAUUAGCUAGUUGGUGAGGUAAGGGCUCACCAAGGCGAAGAUGGUUAGGGGUUUUGAGAGAGAGACCCCCCACACUGGUACUGAGACACGGACCAGACUCCUACGGGAGGCAGCAGUGAGGAAUAUUGGUCAAUGGGCGGAAGCCUGAACCAGCCAUGCCGCGUGCAGGAUGACGGCCCUACGGGUUGUAAACUGCUUUUCCCCGGGGCGAAUAACCCCCUCGCGAGGGGGGAUGGCCGGUACCGGGGAAUAAGGAUCGGCUAACUCCGUGCCAGCACG